This 489-nucleotide long non-coding RNA is filed under the name Chinchilla lanigera (long-tailed chinchilla). RNAcentral's name for it is "lncRNA (ENSCLAG00000026460.1)". Lineage: Eukaryota; Metazoa; Chordata; Mammalia; Rodentia; Chinchillidae. The record is from RNAcentral.
UGAGGUCAGAAUAGCACACUCGGAGCUCUCAUGGUGCAGUCAGUUAGCGCACGGUACUCAUAACAGAACGGCACAUGUUAGAAACAGAAUCAUGAAUGAAAUGGGGUCAGCACUCUGUGUCCUCAUGCCAUCAGAAAGUGCUUCCCCAGGCAAACAGGCAGAUCCUCGGCAUGCUGCCCAGAGAAAUUCUAGCCAAAUUGAAGAGAGGUAUAACUGACCCAUGGAUCCAAGAGAUAAGAAUGUUACAAAGAAGAGGCCAAGUUCAUGGCCUAACUAUGGAAAACAGACCAUUCCAGAACAAGAGCCCUCAGCUCCAGAAGAGCUGAACACACAACGGACCAGCGUCCAUGGACUGUCAUAGAUGACCUGACCCCAGAAUAGUUUCCAGCUUCGUCAUUUUCUGCUGCCACAACAGCUGCUGUUCCAGUGCCUGGGAGCCAGCGGCCCCUCUCAGGUCUUUACCUUAAUAAAGCUGUCCUUGCAAGUCUU